Molecule: long non-coding RNA, 1080 nt
Filed under: Struthio camelus australis
Lineage: Eukaryota; Metazoa; Chordata; Aves; Struthioniformes; Struthionidae
Description: lncRNA (ENSSCUG00000010139.1)
Source: RNAcentral
GCAGAAGUGGCUGGAAACCCUGAAAAUGGUCCCUAAACAUAUACAUCCGCUCUAUGCCUGUCAGGUAUAUGUGCUCUAGAUUGUAUCUGUCCCUCUGUCAUACAGUUUUUUCCUUCUCCUCAGUCUUGUUCAUUUAGCAGAGGUAUAGAGGUUUAUUUGCAUGACUUAACCCUGUCCUCAUUUCUCUCCAUUUAUGGAAGCGUCUUACCUAAGGACUGAGUAAACAGCCAAGCACGGAUUGUGAGUCUGCUUCCACUAAGAUGCAAUUUUUCUUAUGGGUCUCUGUACAGGGAAAUCCUAUUGAGCGUACUUAAACCCCACUGACUUCAAACUUAGCACAUACUCAAAUGCUUUUUUGAACAGGAGCCAACUGGCUCUGUCAUGACAUCUAAUCGCUUACUAGUAUGAAUAAAUGGUUCACAAUCUGUCCUAAGUGUUCAGUGCUGCUUAUACAACUUUUUGUACUUCUUUCGGCAAGGCUUAGACAGCUUGCAAAAUCUUGCCUAUCUAGCUGUAACACUGUCCACAGGACUCUCUUCCUCACAGAAACCAAGGAAGUCUGCUUUAAAAAGACUUCGAAAGGUCUCCCCUGAAACAUGAUCAUUUUAUCUCCCACACAGCCCGUGAUGGUCAAGGAAAAUAGACACAAAUGAUCAACUAGAAAGCAACUCUAAAUCCUAGAAUGGAAGGAUACAGGGAGCAGCUGUUCAGAUGUUGUAUCCUGGAAAAUAUUGGACAGGCAGCAAGCAAGGCAAACUGAAACUCUUCAGCCUGAGGAUAUGGCAGAAACUGAACUAAUGGACUGUCAGAGUGUGUUGCAUUGAUGUUUUAAAAACAGCGUUAAAUGCAGGGUACCUCAGAAUCAAAUCAUACACUGCCAAGCUGUCAUAAAUAUUUUGCCAAUAUUAUUAUUGUUAUUAUUUUUAAUUGCUGUUUCCCACGUUUAGGAAUUGAUGAUAUAAGGAGGUCUCUUUUUCAAGCUUUGUCAUGAGAUCCAGUUGAAACUGCUUGGUAUGUUAAAGCUCAUACAAAGACUGAACUUCAAAUAAAUUUGAUAAAGAUAGAGUAAUGUGUGUUAAA